GAUGAACACUGGCGGCGUGCUUAACACAUGCAAGUCGAACGAUGAAGCCGGAGCUUGCUCUGGUGAAUUAGUGGCGAACGGGUGAGUAACACGUGAGUAACCUGCCCUUGACUCUGGGAUAACUGCGGGAAACUGUAGCUAAUACCGGAUACGACCCUCGGAGGCAUCUCCUGGGGGUGGAAAGAAUUUCGGUCAAGGAUGGACUCGCGGCCUAUCAGCUAGUUGGUGAGGUAAGGCUCACCAAGGCGACGACGGGUAGCCGGCCUGAGAGGGUGACCGGCCACACUGGGACUGAGACACGGCCCAGACUCCUACGGGAGGCAGCAGUGGGGAAUAUUGCACAAUGGGCGCAAGCCUGAUGCAGCAACGCCGCGUGAGGGAUGACGGCCUUCGGGUUGUAAACCUCUUUUAGCAGGGAAGAAGCGAAAGUGACGGUACCUGCAGAAAAAGCACCGGCUAACUACGUGCCAGCCGCCGCCGUAA
RNAcentral lists this ribosomal RNA (483 nucleotides) under uncultured bacterium. RNAcentral describes it as "partial 16S ribosomal RNA". It matches the Rfam family "Bacterial small subunit ribosomal RNA", at positions 28 to 523 of the family's 1533-position model. The record is from RNAcentral.